GAUGAACGCUGGCGGCGUGCCUAAUACAUGCAAGUCGAGCGAACAGACGAGGAGCUUGCUCCUCUGACGUUAGCGGCGGACGGGUGAGUAACACGUGGAUAACCUACCUAUCAGACUGGGAUAACUUCGGGAAACCGGAGCUAAUACCGGAUAAUAUAUUGAACCGCAUGGUUCAAUAGUGAAAGACGGUUUUGCUGUCACUUAUAGAUGGAUCCGCGCCGCAUUAGCUAGUUGGUAAGGUAACGGCUUACCAAGGCGACGAUGCGUAGCCGACCUGAGAGGGGGAUCGGCCACACUGGAACUGAGACACGGGCCAGACUCCGACGGGAGGCAGCAGUAGGGAAUCUACCGCAAUGGGCGAAAGCCUGACGGAGCAACGCCGCGUGAGUGAUGAAGGUCUUCGGAUCGUAAAACUCUGUUAUUAGGGAAGAACAAAUGUGUAAGUAACUAUGCACGUCUGGACGGUACCUAAUCAGAAAGCCACGGCUAACUACGU
RNAcentral lists this ribosomal RNA (496 nucleotides) under uncultured bacterium. RNAcentral describes it as "partial 16S ribosomal RNA". It matches the Rfam family "Bacterial small subunit ribosomal RNA", at positions 28 to 506 of the family's 1533-position model. The record is from RNAcentral.